This 494-nucleotide ribosomal RNA is filed under the name uncultured bacterium. Its description in RNAcentral is "partial 16S ribosomal RNA". It matches the Rfam family "Bacterial small subunit ribosomal RNA", at positions 30 to 523 of the family's 1533-position model. The record is from RNAcentral.
AUUGAACGCUGGCGGCAUGCCUUACACAUGCAAGUCGAACGGUAACAGGUUAAGCUGACGAGUGGCGAACGGGUGAGUAAUAUAUCGGAACGUGCCCAGUCGUGGGGGAUAACGUAGCGAAAGCUACGCUAAUACCGCAUACGAUCUACGGAUGAAAACGGGGAAUCGCAAGACCUCGCGCGAUUGGAGCGGCCGAUAUCAGAUUAGGUUGUUGGUGAGGUAAAAGCUCACCAAGCCUGCGAUCUGUAGCUGGUCUAGAGAGGACGACCAGCCACACUGGAACUGAGACACGGUCCAGACUCCUACGGGAGGCAGCAGUGGGGAAUUUUGGACAAUGGACGCGAGUCUGAUCCAGCAAUGCCGCGUGCAGGACGAAGGCCUUCGGGUUGUAAACUGCUUUUGUACGGAACGAAACGGUGAGCUCUAAUACAGUUUGCUAAUGACGGUACCGUAAGAAUAAGCACCGGCUAACUACGUGCCAGCCGCCGCCGUAA